ACUCAAAGGAAUUGACGGGGGCCCGCACAAGCAGUGGAGUAUGUGGUUUAAUUCGAAGCAACGCGAAGAACCUUACCAGGGCUUGACAUACAUGUGAAUACGGCAGAGAUGUCGUAGUCCUUCGGGACGCAUGUACAGGUGGUGCAUGGUUGUCGUCAGCUCGUGUCGUGAGAUGUUGGGUUAAGUCCCGCAACGAGCGCAACCCCUGUUGUUAGUUGCCAUCAUUUAGUUGGGCACUCUAACGAGACUGCCGGUGACAAAUCGGAGGAAGGUGGGGACGACGUCAAAUCAUCAUGCCCCUUAUGUCCUGGGCUACACACGUACUACAAUGGCUAUUACAGUGGGAAGCAAAGUCGCAAGGCGGAGCAAAUCCCCAAAAAUAGCCCCAGUUCAGAUUGUGGGCUGCAACUCGCCCACAUGAAGUCGGAAUUGCUAGUAAUGGCAGGUCAGCAUACUGCCGUGAAUACGUUCCCGGGCCUUGUACACACCGCCCGU
RNAcentral lists this ribosomal RNA (495 nucleotides) under uncultured bacterium. RNAcentral describes it as "partial 16S ribosomal RNA". It matches the Rfam family "Bacterial small subunit ribosomal RNA", at positions 899 to 1397 of the family's 1533-position model. The record is from RNAcentral.